AUGGUGUCGCUUGCUGUAGUCAUAUCUGUCUUGUUUCUCUGGAAAGGAAAACACAAUAGCAAAUCUAUAUCAUUGCCAUCAAUUGCUACAGAUUUUCCCAAAGUUUCUUUCAGUGAUCUAGCCAGAGCAACACAAGGAUUCUCAGUGUCCAACUUAAUUGGCAGAGGGGGAUAUAGUUCUGUAUAUCAAGGAAAACUAGUUGAAUACAAAAAUGUGGUUGCCAUAAAAGUCUUCAACCUACAUACAAGAGGAGCACAAACGAGCUUUAUCGCAGAAUGUAAUGCGUUGAGAAAUGUGCGGCACCGUAAUCUGGUCCGGAUGCUAACUGCAUGCUCAAGCAUUGAUUCUAAUGGCAAUGAUUUCAAAGCCCUAGUGUAUGAGUUCAUGCCACGAGGAGACUUGCAUAAACUACUAUACUCAACUCCAGACUAUGAAGGCUCUUCAUAUUUGAACCUUAUUACAAUGGCUCAAAGGAUUGGCAUUGUGGUGGAUGUAGCAGAUGCAUUGGAGUACCAACACCAUAACAACCAAGGCAUAAUGAUUCAUUGUGAUUUGAAGCCUAGCAACAUUCUCCUGGAUGACAAUAUGAUAGCUCAUGUGGGAGACUUUGGCCUAGCAAGAUUCAAAGUUGAUUCCACAACAUUAUCUCUUGGUAACUCAAACACCUCUUCGAUUGCACUAGUGGGAACGAUUGGAUACGCUGCUCCAGAAUACGCACGGGGUGGUCAAGUUUCGACCGCCGCAGAUGUUUACAGUUUUGGUGUCGUUCUGCUCGAGAUAUUCAUUCGAAGAAGGCCAACUGAUGACAUGUUUAAGGAUGGACUGAGCAUUGUAAAGUUUGCAGAGGCCAACUUCCCUGGUCGAGUAUUGGAGAUUGUCGAUCCCCAGCUGCUACAUGAGUUAGAGCUUUCCCAAAAAAACUCCAAUGGACUUGAAGGAAGAAGGUGUACAUUCUCUGAUGUCUAUGCUAAACAUUGGCCUCUGCUGCACCAAACCAUCUCCAGAUCAACGUAUGAACAUGCAGGAGGUGGCUGCCAAGCUACAUGGAAUUAG
Molecule: ribosomal RNA, 1053 nt
Filed under: Triticum aestivum (bread wheat)
Lineage: Eukaryota; Viridiplantae; Streptophyta; Magnoliopsida; Poales; Poaceae
Description: partial small subunit ribosomal RNA
Source: RNAcentral